UACGUAGGUGGCAAGCGUUGUUCGGAAUUAUUGGGCGUAAAGGGCGCGUAGGCGGUUUGUUAAGUCGGUCGUGAAAGCCCGGGGCUCAACCCCGGAGGGUCGACCGAUACUGGCAGACUAGAGUACAGAAGAGGUAACUGGAAUUCCCGGUGUAGCGGUGAAAUGCGCAGAUAUCAGGAAGAACACCCGUGGCUAAGGCGGCUCUCUAGUACGGUACUGACGCUGAGACGCGAAAGCGUGGGGAGCGAACAGG
Molecule: ribosomal RNA, 253 nt
Filed under: uncultured bacterium
Lineage: Bacteria
Description: partial 16S ribosomal RNA
Rfam family: Bacterial small subunit ribosomal RNA
Source: RNAcentral